Molecule: RNA transcript, 285 nt
Organism: Dromaius novaehollandiae (emu)
Lineage: Eukaryota; Metazoa; Chordata; Aves; Casuariiformes; Dromaiidae
Exons: 3
Source: RefSeq, a predicted model, not a curated record
CAGCCCCCAACCCCACCCUCGCGCCCCCGGAAGCGCUUGUGCCCGUGAUCCGGGAAGCGGUCGUGUCUCUGCAGUUAGGGAGGGGGAGGGGGCUCGUCCGAGCGUCCUUGUGGGGACCGGCGUUAUGUUUCUUACAAUGGCGACUUAUACAUUCUGGUGAGGAUGACAAGUGCGGCAGAGACAGGCUACUGUUUCAAUGUCAGGAGACUCCGGCUACAGGAAAAACUGGUCCUGCUGAGAUACGAUCCUCUUGCAAAAAAGCGUGUCCUCUUCACAGAGAAGAGA